This 100-nucleotide small nuclear RNA is filed under the name Neolamprologus brichardi. The record is from RNAcentral. Lineage: Eukaryota; Metazoa; Chordata; Actinopteri; Cichliformes; Cichlidae.
GUGUUACUUCGGUAGCACAUAUACUAAAAUUGGAACAGAGAAGACUAGCAUGGCCCUGCACAAGGAUGACACGCAAAUUCCUCAUUUUCUUUAAAAGUAA